GAGUUUGAUCAUGGCUCAGAACGAACGCUGGCGGCAGGCCUAACACAUGCAAGUCGAACGCUCCAGCAAUGGAGAGUGGCAGACGGGUGAGUAACACGUGGGAACCUUCCCUAUGGUUCGGAAUAGCUCAGGGGAAACUUGGGGUAAUACCGGAUAAGCCCUUCGGGGAAAGAUUUAUCGCCAUUGGAUGGGCCCGCGUCGGAUUAGCUAGUUGGUGAGGUAACGGCUCACCAAGGCGACGAUCCGUAGCUGGUCUGAGAGGAUGAUCAGCCACACUGGGACUGAGACACGGCCCAGACUCCUACGGGAGGCAGCAGUGGGGAAUAUUGGACAAUGGGCGCAAGCCUGAUCCAGCCAUGCCGCGUGAGUGACGAAGGUCUUCGGAUUGUAAAGCUCUUUUUGGCGGGGACGAUAAUGACGGUACCCGCAGAAUAAGCCCCGGCUAACCUCGUGCCAGCCGCCGCCGUAA
Molecule: ribosomal RNA, 469 nt
Filed under: uncultured Alphaproteobacteria bacterium
Lineage: Bacteria; Pseudomonadati; Pseudomonadota; Alphaproteobacteria
Description: bacterial SSU rRNA
Rfam family: Bacterial small subunit ribosomal RNA
Source: RNAcentral